ACACUGACGUCGCGACGCAUAUCAAUAAGCGGAGGAAAAGAAACUAACUAGGAUUCCCUCAGUAACGGCGAGUGAAGCGGGAAGAGCUCAAAUUUGAAAUCUUCAAGGUUCUACCUUGACGAAUUGUAGUUUAAAGAAGUGUUUUCUGUUAGUGGAGUGGCAAAAGUUCUUUGGAAUAGGACAUCAUAGAGGGUGAGAAUCCCGUAUUUGGUCAUUCCUUCUAGCUUUGUGAUACACUUUCAAAGAGUCGGAUUGUUUGGGAAUGCAGUCCAAAAUGGGUGGUAAAUUUCAUCUAAAGCUAAAUAUUGGCGAGAGACCGAUAGCGAACAAGUACCGUGAGGGAAAGAUGAAAAGAACUUUGAAAAGAGAGUUAAACAGUACGUGAAAUUGUCAAAAGGGAAGCGUUUGACACCAGUGUUGUUUUUCCGAAAAUCAAUUAUAAAUGUUUUGUUUCUGAGGAGUGAUGACUUCAUCGGCUUCCUUCUCUCUUCACGAAACUUUUGUAAUGCACUUUUCGGUUAACAAGUCAACAUCAAUUUCUUUUGUUGUAAAAGAGUAUUCGGAAGGUGGCUUUCUUUUCGGAGAAAGUGUUUAUAGCCCUAUACUUCUACAAUCGGAGAGAUUGAGGUCUGCAGCGUAGAUCCUUCGGGGUUAGAUACACUUGUGCUAAGUUAUAGCUUUUCAUAGACAACUUGUUGACUAUGUUUAGUCUUGUAGCUUACUCGCUUGUGCUAUUUUACCUACGCUUAGGAUGUUGAGUCGUAGAGCACGCA
Molecule: ribosomal RNA, 773 nt
Filed under: uncultured Neocallimastigales
Lineage: Eukaryota; Fungi; Neocallimastigomycota; Neocallimastigomycetes; Neocallimastigales
Description: partial large subunit ribosomal RNA
Rfam family: Eukaryotic large subunit ribosomal RNA
Source: RNAcentral